AACGAACGCUGGCGGCAGGCCUAACACAUGCAAGUCGAGCGCCCUUUCGGGGGAGCGGCGGACGGGUGAGUAACGCGUGGGAAUAUGCCCUUCUCUACGGAAUAGCCUCGGGAAACUGAGAGUAAUACCGUAUACGCCCUGUGGGGGAAAGAUUUAUCGGGGAAGGAUUAGCCCGCGUUGGAUUAGGUAGUUGGUGGGGUAAUGGCCUACCAAGCCGACGAUCCAUAGCUGGUUUGAGAGGAUGAUCAGCCACACUGGGACUGAGACACGGCCCAGACUCCUACGGGAGGCAGCAGUGGGGAAUCUUAGACAAUGGGGGCAACCCUGAUCUAGCCAUGCCGCGUGAGUGAUGAAGGCCUUAGGGUUGUAAAGCUCUUUCAGCUGGGAAGAUAAUGACGGUACCAGCAGAAGAAGCCCCGGCUAACUUCGUG
Molecule: ribosomal RNA, 431 nt
Filed under: uncultured bacterium
Lineage: Bacteria
Description: partial 16S ribosomal RNA
Rfam family: Bacterial small subunit ribosomal RNA
Source: RNAcentral